This 429-nucleotide ribosomal RNA is filed under the name Triticum aestivum (bread wheat). Its description in RNAcentral is "partial small subunit ribosomal RNA". Lineage: Eukaryota; Viridiplantae; Streptophyta; Magnoliopsida; Poales; Poaceae. The record is from RNAcentral.
AUGCUUAAGAUUGACCUUGCAAAAGCUUUUGAUCGUUUAGAAUGGAAUUUCAUUGUUUCUGCUCUGGCUCGUAAAGGGCUGCAUGGUCAUUUUGUUAAUUUGGUUCAUGCAUGCAUCUCAUCUCCCUCAUUCUCUAUUCUCAUUAAUGGCCAGCCCUCUCCUAAAUUUAAGAGCUUCAGAGGAAUACGACAAGGCUGUCCCAUGUCUCCUUACUUGUUUGUUCUUGCAAUUAAUGAACUUUCCAUCUUGCUUAAUGAAGCUUUGCAGGCUAACCCAUUGCAGGGAAUUUCUCUUGGACCAAAUUGCCCCUCUGUCCAUUCUCUUCUAUUUGCAGAUGAUCUUCUGGUGUGUGGGCACGCUACUUAUCAGGAGGCUCAGACGAUGGCUAGUCUUUCAACACUUUUGUGCUCUUUCUGGUCAAACUCCUAA